Molecule: unclassified non-coding RNA, 253 nt
Filed under: Anaerolineae bacterium
Lineage: Bacteria; Bacillati; Chloroflexota; Anaerolineae
Also listed under: 1 other name
Description: partial 16S ribosomal RNA
Rfam family: Bacterial small subunit ribosomal RNA
Source: RNAcentral
UACAGAGGUGGCAAGCGUUGUUCGGAAUCACUGGGCAUAAAGGGCGCGUAGGCGGCGAGCCAAGUCGGGUGUGAAAUCCCUCAGCUCAACUGAGGAACUGCGCCCGAAACUAUCUUGCUAGAGUGCAGGAGAGGAGAGUGGAACUCCUAGUGGAGCGGUGAAAUGCGUAGAGAUUAGGAGGAACGCCGGUGGCGAAAGCGACUCUCUGGCCUGUUACUGACGCUGAGGCGCGAAAGCUAGGGGAGCAAACGGG